ACGUCAAGUCCUCAUGGCCCUUACGGGCUGGGCUACACACGUGCUACAAUGGCGGUGACAGCGGGGAGCGAUGGGGCGACCCUGAGCGAAUCCCAAAAAGCCGUCUCAGUUCGGAUUGCGCUCUGCAACUCGAGCGCAUGAAGGCGGAAUCGCUAGUAAUCGCGGAUCAGCAUGCCGCGGUGAAUACGUUCCCGGGCCUU
RNAcentral lists this ribosomal RNA (200 nucleotides) under uncultured organism. RNAcentral describes it as "partial small subunit ribosomal RNA". It matches the Rfam family "Bacterial small subunit ribosomal RNA", at positions 1182 to 1382 of the family's 1533-position model. The record is from RNAcentral.